RNAcentral lists this ribosomal RNA (1248 nucleotides) under Triticum aestivum (bread wheat). RNAcentral describes it as "partial small subunit ribosomal RNA". The record is from RNAcentral. Lineage: Eukaryota; Viridiplantae; Streptophyta; Magnoliopsida; Poales; Poaceae.
AUGAUACCUCAACCACCAUAUCUUGGGUGGAGAUUUGGUACUUUUGAAGAUGCCAAAGAGUACUACCAGAGAUCUGCGGUGUUCCAUGGAUUUUCGGUGAACACAGAAUACCAUAGGCAGAUUAAAAAAACUAACGAGUACAUCAGAGGUGAGAUAAGGUGCUACAAGGCACGAAAGAACAAGAAAGGAAAAGGUGUUGUACCUGUCGUGCCGGAACGAAAGAGAGGCAUCAUUCUCAAGACGGGAUGCCCUGUUCGGUUGAAGCUAAACGCAAAUGGAGCAUGGUGGGUGGUCACUGAAUAUUUCGAAGAACACAACCACGACCUCGUAAAGAAGUUUGACCUAGUAAAAUUUCUGAGCGCCCACAGAGGAUUCAGACCCAUCGAGAAGAAAUUCAUAAGGUUGCUACAUGAUUGUAACGUCGGUCCAUCAAGAAUGGUCCAAAUAUUGUCCCUAAUCCACAACGGAGAUGGGAGUCUGAGUAGCAUGCCCUACAUACCAGCAGACAUCAAAAACCUAAAGGCAAAGUACCGUAGAGAGAGGAGGUUGGCUGACAUAGAAGACACAAUAGCCUACUUCAAAGAGAAAGCAAAAGCAGAUAAUGAUUUCUUCUACAGGAUAAGAUUGGACGAUGAGGACCGUGUCAGUAACAUGUAUUGGGUGGAUGGUGCUACAAGAAGAGCCUACAAACAUUUACGUGAUUACAUUUCAUUCGACGCGACAUAUCUCACGAAUAUGUACAAGAUGCCCUGUGCUCCAUUCAUAGGAAUAAAUAACCAUAAUCAGUCCUUGCAGUUCGGUUGCGGUCUCAUUCGGAACGAAGAUAUCAAUGGUUACACUUGGCUGUUCAAAACCUUCUUGGAGUGCAUGGAUGGACUUGCUCCAAUGAACAUAAUAACGGACCAGGAUUUUAGCAUGCGCACAUGCAUAGAGGAGGUCUUUCCGUUGGCAGUGCACAUGCACUCCAGGUGGCAUAUUAUUAAGAAGGCUGAAGAGACGCUAGGACCAUUCUUCGCUGACCGUCCAAAGCUACACAAGGCAUUCGAGUUGUGUGUGGACCACAGCUUGAUGGUGAAGGAGUUUGAACGGAGCUGGACGGCUAUGAUUGAAACAUACCAAGUCCAAGACAACAAGACACCAAAUAGCUUGUGGGACAAGCGAAUGUACUGGGUGUCGACCUACUUCAUGCAGUGUUCUUUCCAUUUCUGCAGACUACACAACGCAGCGAAGGGUUCAAUGCUGUUUUGA